GAAUUAUACUUUUUCGAAAUUCAAACCCUAAACCCUAAAACUCAACUCUAAACCCUAAACCAUCAAUCCCAAACCCAAUUUUUUUUAAAAAAUACAAACCCUAAACCCUAAACCAUCAAUCCUAAACCCUAUACUUUGUCUGAAAUACGAACCCUAAACUCCGAAACAUCAACUCUAAACCCUAAACCCCGAAACAUCAACUUUAAACCCUAAACCCUAAACCUUCAACUCUAACCCCUAAAACAUCAACUCUAAACCCUAAACCCUAAACCUCAACUCUAAACCCUAAACCAUCAACACUAAACCCUAAACUAUCAACAAUAAACCCUAAACCCUAAAAAGUAAACUUUAAACCCUAAACCCAAAAAAAUUAACCCUAAACCCUAAACUCUAAACCCUAAAUCCUAAACCCUAAACUCUAAACCCUAAAACCCUAGAGUUGAUGUUUUAGGGUUUAGAUUCAAAGGUUUAGGGUUUACCUGCAAUUUUUGCAGUAAAAUUCCACCAUUUCAACAUCUGUGAUCACCAUUGUAGUGAACUCACAACGCUUCCUGCAGAAAAUAUCAAAACAAAAAAAAAAGACCAUGACUAAACUAAGAGUAUGGUACACAGAACUUGACAGUGAUUAAUGGACAUUACGCAUCAGAUUGCAG
RNAcentral lists this long non-coding RNA (653 nucleotides) under Brassica napus (rape). RNAcentral's name for it is "long non-coding RNA (BNAP_LNC024985)". Lineage: Eukaryota; Viridiplantae; Streptophyta; Magnoliopsida; Brassicales; Brassicaceae. The record is from RNAcentral.